This 115-nucleotide small nuclear RNA is filed under the name Echinops telfairi (small Madagascar hedgehog). RNAcentral describes it as "U1 spliceosomal RNA (ENSETEG00000025725.1)". Lineage: Eukaryota; Metazoa; Chordata; Mammalia; Afrosoricida; Tenrecidae. The record is from RNAcentral.
AUAAAAACUCAGUAAAAAAGGUAUAAGAUGUGCUGAUCCCUGCAACUUCCCCAAACGUGAGAUACUUGACUAUAAAAUUUGUGUUAGUGGGGUAUUGUGUUCAUGCCCUCCCCCA